RNAcentral lists this transfer RNA (72 nucleotides) under Camelus bactrianus (Bactrian camel). It matches the Rfam family "tRNA". From Rfam's summary of the family: Transfer RNA (tRNA) molecules are approximately 80 nucleotides in length. Their secondary structure includes four short double-helical elements and three loops (D, anti-codon, and T loops). RNAcentral also lists the same sequence under 1 other name. The record is from Rfam by way of RNAcentral. Lineage: Eukaryota; Metazoa; Chordata; Mammalia; Artiodactyla; Camelidae.
GGGGGUACGGCCCAGUGGCAGAGUGUGUGUUUAGCAUGCACGAGGCUUUGGGUUCAACCCCCAGUAUCUCCA